Non-coding RNA from Eptesicus fuscus (big brown bat), 80 nucleotides. The record is from RefSeq and is marked provisional. NCBI's taxonomy places the organism in Eukaryota, Metazoa, Chordata, Mammalia, Chiroptera, Vespertilionidae.
UGUAGCGCCCUACCUUGUGCGGUGGUGAUCAUGUGCAUACAUGAAAUGUGGUCACCACCGCUCUGGUAGGGUAAUGCACU